Long non-coding RNA from Micropterus salmoides (largemouth bass), 1274 nucleotides. RefSeq lists it as uncharacterized. The transcript is spliced from 6 exons. NCBI's taxonomy places the organism in Eukaryota, Metazoa, Chordata, Actinopteri, Centrarchiformes, Centrarchidae. The record is from RefSeq and is a predicted model, not a curated record.
CUUCUUGUUUGUUUCUUCUCUUCUUCCAUUUUUACUUCACCACCUGUUUCACUACCAGGGCUUUUAUUUUGAAACGCAGUCAGAGCGGCGCAGACGCCAGCUUUUAUUUUGAAGGCUACACCGUCUCUCCCAGCAAAGUGUGAAACCAGGCAGGUCUAAUCUGGAUCCAGGUUCCGGUCCUGGACCUCAGAAACAGUUCAGACACUUACUGACCCGGACGAGCCGCCGCUAAGCCCCGCCCACCUCCCCAGCAGCCGAUCGUUCAUUGGUCCGUGCAGAUGACCCGUCCUCUCCGGAUUGUGUGUCCAGCUGCGGGUUUUUGUCUCUGAUCAGUGGACUGAGAGAAAGCGGUUUGCCUCGCGCCCCACGCAGCUCCUCCAGCUCUCGCUGUGCAGCCGUCUCUGUGAGCGUCUCCCUCUUAUUGGCAGCAGCUGCAGCAGUGUUACACCUGCCCCUCCAAAGGUCUCUGCACAGCUGAGUGUUAACGGUGCGUCUGACAGAUGUUCAGGAGCUGCAGACAAAAUCAGGCAAAUACCUUUUGAUCAGAAGAACUGUGAGGCCGAGACAGCCACACCCUCUGCCCCCCCGGCCUGUUACUGCGUCACACAGAAACCAGUCAAAGCUGUGGUGUUAUUGAAGCAGGUGGAGCAGGUGCAGAGAAUUCCAAUUCCAGCGGUGUCAGUGACCGCAGGUGUAACGUCUUUUCAGUGGCACGAGGACACUCGUAUCUGCGGAUAUCUGAUAGCGAGCCUUUCUGAUCAGCUGAGCAGCGGCAGAGAGGAAAACCUGCAGACUGAAGUUUGAUUUAUAAUCCAGCUACUUAACAGACUGAAGAGGAACUCUUCAUAAAAAUGGCCUCAAGGCAAAGAAGGAGCACAGAGCUGCCUCUUGAACUGUCUGAAAUAAUUGACAAACUUAUCAAACAUGCAGAUUCAUUCAUCAAAGACUUUGACAACAGUGAACACAAGAUGAGAGAGAUUGUAGGAGAGAUUCAGAAGAUCACUGCUGAAGUAGAACAGAUGCAGAAGGAAACGGAUGCAGUCAGAACAACAGCAGUUGUUCCUGGAGGAGUUGGACUUGGACUUUUGAUCCUUGCAGCUCUCUUCACUGGGGGGCUGAGCUUAUUAGCAGGAGCAGCUGCCAGAGGACCAGCAGAAGCAGCAGUAGUAGUAGGAUUAGCAGCAUUAACAGCAGUAGCAGCAGUAGCAGUAGCAAUAAGAGCAGCAUUAGAAGGAGCAGGAGCAGCAGUAGCAGAAGGAGCAGCUGUAGGAGCA